RNAcentral lists this long non-coding RNA (711 nucleotides) under Cairina moschata (Muscovy duck). RNAcentral describes it as "domestica (muscovy Duck (domestic type)) lncRNA (ENSCMMG00000005736.1)". The record is from RNAcentral. Lineage: Eukaryota; Metazoa; Chordata; Aves; Anseriformes; Anatidae.
AGCAAAUAUUAAUAUGACAUUGGAGGUACAGAGAUUUCAGUGAGUGUUUCUUAACUUCUUGUUUUGGAACUCUCAAAUUUUAACAAUAUUUUUCUUUCUUACGAGGAAAUAAAACUGAAUUUACACAUUCACAUCAAGUGCAAUGACAUGAAGUUGAUUUUUAUAAUGUUUUCUUAAAGCAAGUGUCAUUAGUGCAUCUUUUUAGAAUAAGGAUCCAAGGAACAACACGUACAUUUCUUCAUGGCAGAUGUCACCGACAUUGCUGCAUGGAAAAUACCUUAGGAGACAUAGAACUAUUAGAGAAAUAGUAAGGUUAAUAAUAGCUUUUAUUUUGUUUCACUAGAGAAUAUCUGACAAAUAAAACAAGAUGAUUCUUGAAAACCCUCACAAAAGUAAUCUUUGAACAAGUAAAACUCUUUUAUAGAGAAAAUAACUAAUGUGUCUUAAACUUUUGGAUUAACAUUUCGCGUACUCUGCAACAAAUCAGAAUAAUGUUCAUCUUCAUACUUUUUUUUUUAUAGCACCCAUGAGCCUUUCUCAGUGUACUGGACGCUGUACAAACACAGCACAGCUUCAUCAAAAGAUCACAGGUAAACAAGAAAAAUAUGAACUGUCAAUGAAUCAGGUUGGAGACGUUUCAAGAAAAACACUGACAAAAUCAAUAUUAUGUCAAGUUUAAGUCCACAUCUUCAUUAAUGACCCAGAAACGUA